CGCCUUGCCAGCCCGCUCAGAACUUAAAGGAAUUGACGGGGCCCGCACAAGCGGUGGAGCAUGUGGUUAAUUCGAUGAUACGCGAGGAACCUUACCUGGGCUCAAAUGUAUGUUGACGUAUUCUGAAAGGGAUACUUCUUCGGACAAUAUACAAGGUGCUGCAUGGUUGUCGUCAGCUCGUGCCGUGAGGUGUCGGGUUAAGUCCCAUAACGAGCGCAACCCCUAUCAUUAGUUGCCAUCGGGUCAAGCUGGGGACUCUAAUGAAACUGCCUACGCAAGUAGUGAGGAAGGUGGGGAUGACGUCAAAUCAGCACGGCCCUUAUGUCCAGGGCGACACACGUGCUACAAUGGCCGGCACAACGGGAAGCGAGUUCGCGAGGACGAGCGGAUCCCUCAAAGCCGGUCGCAGUUCGGAUUGAAGUCUGCAACUCGACUUCAUGAAGCUGGAAUCGCUAGUAAUCGUGGAUCAGCCAAGCCGCGGUGAAUACGUUCCCGGGCCUU
This 501-nucleotide ribosomal RNA is filed under the name uncultured Sphingobacteriales bacterium. Its description in RNAcentral is "bacterial SSU rRNA". It matches the Rfam family "Bacterial small subunit ribosomal RNA", at positions 903 to 1382 of the family's 1533-position model. Lineage: Bacteria; Pseudomonadati; Bacteroidota; Sphingobacteriia; Sphingobacteriales. The record is from RNAcentral.